GUCACUUCUUGGCCUUUUGGCUAAGAUCAAGUGUGGUAUCUGUUCUUAUUAGUUUAAUAAAAACUUAGUUCAAAUAGACCAGGGAAAAACACAGCUCCU
Molecule: small nuclear RNA, 99 nt
Filed under: Ursus thibetanus thibetanus
Lineage: Eukaryota; Metazoa; Chordata; Mammalia; Carnivora; Ursidae
Description: U2 spliceosomal RNA (ENSUTTG00000000426.1)
Rfam family: U2 spliceosomal RNA
About the family: U2 is a small nuclear RNA (snRNA) component of the spliceosome (involved in pre-mRNA splicing). Complementary binding between U2 snRNA (in an area lying towards the 5' end but 3' to hairpin I) and the branchpoint sequence (BPS) of the intron results the bulging out of an unpaired adenosine, on the BPS, which initiates a nucleophilic attack at the intronic 5' splice site, thus starting the first of two transesterification reactions that mediate splicing.
Source: RNAcentral